UGAGCGUCCCGUGUGGAAAGUGGCGAACGGGUGAGUAACACGUAGGUAACCUGCCUCGCAGUGGGGGAUAACCAGUGGAAACGCUGGCUAACGCCGCACAGUUCUGCGUAUACGGGAGUAUGUGCGGAUAAAACUGAGGUGCUGCGAGAGGGGCCUGCGACCGAUUAGCUAGUUGGUGAGGUAAAGGCUCACCAAGGCCGAGAUCGGUAGCUGUUCUGAGAGGAAGACCAGCCACACGGGAACUGAGACACGGUCCCGACUCCUACGGGGGGCAGCAGUGAGGAAUAUUGCACAAUGGGGGGAACCCUGAUGCAGCAACGCCGCGUGGAGGAAGAAGGCCUUCGGGUUGUAAACUCCUUUUCUGGGGGAAGAGAAAGGACGGUACCCCAGGAAUAAGUCUCGGCUAACUACGUGCCAGCAGCCGCGGUAAAACGUAGGAGGCGAGCGUUAUCCGGAUUUACUGGGCGUAAAGCGCGUGCAGGCGGCUUUCUAAGUCGGACGUGAAAGCUCCCGGCUCAACUGGGAGAGGUCGUUCGAAACUAGAAGGCUUGAGGGUGGUAGAGGAAAGUGGAAUUCCCGGUGUAGUGGUGAAAUGCGUAGAUAUCGGGAAGGAACACCAGUGGCGAAGGCGGCUCUCUGGGCCACUCCUGACGCUAAGACGCGAAAGCUAGGGGAGAGAACGGGAUUAGAAACCCCGGUAUUCCUAGCCGUAAACGAUGUCAACUAGGUGUAGGGGGUAUCCAACCCCCCUGUGCUGCAGCAAACGCGGUAAGUUGACCGCCUGGGGACUACGGCCGCAAGGCUAAAACUCAAAGGAAUUGACGGGGACCCGCACAAGCAGCGGAGCGUGUGGUUUAAUUCGAGGCUACGCGAAGAACCUUACCAGGGUUUGACAUGACGGUGGUAGGAAAGCGAAAGCUGACCGACCCUUCGGGGAGCCGCCACAGGUGCUGCAUGGCUGUCGUCAGCUCGUGCCGUGAGGUGUUAGGUUAAGUCCUGUAACGAGCGCAACCCUCGUCGUUAGUUAUACGUGUCUAACGAGACUGCCGGUGAUAAGCCGGAGGAAGGUGAGGAUGACGUCAAGUCAGCAUGGCCUUUAUAUCCUGGGCUACACACACGCUACAAUGGCCGGUACAAUGGGUAGCUAAACCGCGAGGUGGAGCCAAUCCUCCAAAGCCGGUCUCAGUUCGGAUUGUAGGCUGCAACUCGCCUGCAUGAAGUCGGAGUGCUAGUACCGCGCGUCA
This 1244-nucleotide ribosomal RNA is filed under the name uncultured bacterium. RNAcentral's name for it is "bacterial SSU rRNA". It matches the Rfam family "Bacterial small subunit ribosomal RNA", at positions 75 to 1351 of the family's 1533-position model. The record is from RNAcentral.